CAGUAGCCACGGGAACACAGAGGGUGCGAGCGUUAAUCGGAUUUACUGGGCGUAAAGCGUGCGUAGGCGGCUUCUUAAGUCGGAUGUGAAAUCCCUGAGCUUAACUUAGGAAUUGCAUUCGAUACUGGGAAGCUAGAGUAUGGGAGAGGAUGGUAGAAUUCCAGGUGUAGCGGUGAAAUGCGUAGAGAUCUGGAGGAAUACCGAUGGCGAAGGCAGCCAUCUGGCCUAAUACUGACGCUGAGGUACGAAAGCAUGGGGAGCAAACAGGAUUAGAUACCCGAGUAGUCCCUGUCUCUUAUAC
This 301-nucleotide ribosomal RNA is filed under the name uncultured bacterium. RNAcentral describes it as "partial 16S ribosomal RNA". It matches the Rfam family "Bacterial small subunit ribosomal RNA", at positions 509 to 807 of the family's 1533-position model. The record is from RNAcentral.